Molecule: long non-coding RNA, 710 nt
Organism: Teleopsis dalmanni
Lineage: Eukaryota; Metazoa; Arthropoda; Insecta; Diptera; Diopsidae
Exons: 3
Source: RefSeq, a predicted model, not a curated record
UCAAAACGAAAACGUGAAAUAAAUGAGCAACAAAACUAUGUAUACAGACACCAACAACAACAACUACAACAGCCAGAAUAUCUUUUACGCUGUUAUAUUGUCGAUGGGUAGUUUUUUGCUGCUGUAGACAACAUAAUUGCUAACAGAAAUUAAUCAGACAGGCUUGCUUGCAUUGUUGGAGUAACUAAAAUCUAUUGAAGAAUAGUUUUAAAAAAAGUAACUAAAUUCUAAUAAAUUUUAGUAAAAAUUUUAUAUUCCGAUUUUAUUGAAAGAAAGUCAAUAAACUCAUUUUUACUAAUAACAUCACUUACUGACGUGACUGGCACAGUUUGAUGUCAAAGCACUUCGGCUGGACAAAAUUGUUUAACUUUGAAUGCACAUCCGUUUCUUAUAUUUAAUUUUACAGUUUUAUACACGUUCUAACGACAAAAUAGAUGUUAGUUUGUAUAUGAGAAACCGUUAGCUGAUUUAGUCAUGGCUUGGACUGUAAUGCACUAUACUAUGCAAAAUUAAAUGAAUUGCUGGCUAUUUGCUAGACUCAGAACUUGCGGACUCAUUAUGUAUGCAAAACAGUUGAGAAGAAUGUCUGUUUGUUACCACAGAGGAUUUUUUUUUAUUGAAGAAAAUUGUAUAAAACAAACAUGAAAAUAUCAAAACAUAUAAAAAAUUAUUUUAGGUCAUAAUUUUUAGAUAACUUAUUAAUAGGUAAA